GCAUGCUGCUACAAUAUACACUUCCAUAAUACAGAAGAGCAGAAAAAGUUUGAUAUGAUAAGCAGAAGAAAUACCAUGAUCUCUUAGAGUGUCAGUCUGCUAUAUCUGAUCUACAAUGAAUGCCAAAUCUGCAAUCAACAAAGAAAUUUUUGCCCCGCAUGAUGAAAGGAUGCUGGGAGCUGUCCAAGUUAAAAGAAGAACGAAAAAAAAGAUUCCUUUCCUUGCUACGGGGGGUCAGGGUGAAUAUUUAACAUAUAUCUGCCUGUCAGUGAUGUUAUACUGACUCCGCCAGUGGUGGUAUAAAGUUGUUUUUCAAACAUAAACUUGUUAUUCCUUUCAAAGUGACUGCUCAUGGAAUGGAAAGUUACUUGAAAAUGA
Meleagris gallopavo (turkey) is the source of this 378-nucleotide non-coding RNA. NCBI's taxonomy places the organism in Eukaryota, Metazoa, Chordata, Aves, Galliformes, Phasianidae. The record is from RefSeq and is a predicted model, not a curated record.